This 93-nucleotide transfer RNA is filed under the name Lysobacterales bacterium. Its description in RNAcentral is "tRNA-Ser". It matches the Rfam family "tRNA". Rfam says of the family: Transfer RNA (tRNA) molecules are approximately 80 nucleotides in length. Their secondary structure includes four short double-helical elements and three loops (D, anti-codon, and T loops). Further hydrogen bonds mediate the characteristic L-shaped molecular structure. tRNAs have two regions of fundamental functional importance: the anti-codon, which is responsible for specific mRNA codon recognition, and the 3' end, to which the tRNAs corresponding amino acid is attached (by aminoacyl-tRNA synthetases). tRNAs cope with the degeneracy of the genetic code in two manners: having more than one tRNA (with a specific anti-codon) for a particular amino acid; and 'wobble' base-pairing, i.e. permitting non-standard base-pairing at the 3rd anti-codon position. Lineage: Bacteria; Pseudomonadati; Pseudomonadota; Gammaproteobacteria; Lysobacterales. The record is from RNAcentral.
GGAGAGAUGGCCGAGCGGCUGAAGGCGCUCCCCUGCUAAGGGAGUAUACGGGCAAAACCUGUAUCGAGGGUUCGAAUCCCUCUCUCUCCGCCA